Molecule: long non-coding RNA, 592 nt
Filed under: Homo sapiens (human)
Lineage: Eukaryota; Metazoa; Chordata; Mammalia; Primates; Hominidae
Description: HSALNT0406527
Source: RNAcentral
GAAAAAGAGGGAGUGUCCCUCCUCCAGGAAGCUCCCAGCCUAGCUGGCGAGCAUGGCCUCCCUUCUCCUCCUGGCCUCCCUUCUCCUCCUGGCCUCCCUUCUCCUCCUGGCUCCACGCCUUCUCUUUGCUUCCUCCCAUUGCCGUUUCUCCUGACGAUCUAAGAAAGAGCAGAAGCCUGAAAUUGGGACCUGGAGGGGACGUCUCUAAUCAAUCUUUGUCCUGGACGUGGGGACGCCGGCGCUGUGGUGCCUGCCCAGCACAUCCUGAGAUGACGCCACUGCUCCUCUUUGGCCCUGCUGAACUGUAUUCCAUGCUGGCUGUCUUUUUCCUGCAUGUAUGUUAAAGAGAUUGAAAAGUGAAGAUACCAGUGGGGUGAUGAACAGUUCAAUAAUGCUUUAUAGUCCAAAGAGCCCUAGGAGCACUGCUCAAUAUCCCAGAGUGGAAGACUAGAGUUUUCCUUUUGUUCAACUCAUAAACUAUUCUUAAAAGUGCCAUAUUUUCUUGAUUCCAUUGUUGUUCUCCCUGUUUAUGGCUCUGUUCAUUGUCCUGUGUCUAUGAAAUGAAGCCAUAAUAAAUGCUAAUCAUGUGUUU